RNAcentral lists this transfer RNA (70 nucleotides) under Tetraponera rufonigra. Its description in RNAcentral is "tRNA-Pro". Lineage: Eukaryota; Metazoa; Arthropoda; Insecta; Hymenoptera; Formicidae. The record is from RNAcentral.
CAAGAAAUAGUUUAAAUAAAGAAUAUUAAUUUUGGAGAUUAAAGGUAUAUUUGUUUUCAUAUUUUUUUGA